UGCCUCUAGAAUUAAAAUUUGAGGUACAACCUGCUCACUGCUCUAAAAAAGUAAAUAGCUGCGGUACUCUGACCGUACGAAGGUAGCAAAAGUAAGUAGUUUUCUAAUUGAAAACUGGAAUGAAUGGUAAAACCAAACUGAGACUGUCUCAAGUUUAAAAAUUGAAGUUGAACUUACAGUGAAAAUGCUGUAAUAAUUAAAAGGGACGAGAAGACCCUAUAGACCUGGGAAGAAAACCUCUUUUGUUGCAGGAUUUCUUCUUCUUUGGGGAAAAGCUUAUAAAAUUUAAGGUAAACUAAUAAAUAUUGAUCCAGAAUUAUCUGACAAUCGGAAAAAGGUACCUUAGGGAUAACAGCAUAAUACCCUAACCAAAGAGCUUAUUUGAUUAGGGGGUUGUGACCUCGAUGUUGAAUUAAGUUGUUUUAGAGGAAGCAGAAGGUCUCUAAACUAGUCUGUUCGACUAUAAAAACU
Molecule: ribosomal RNA, 471 nt
Filed under: Acidoproctus emersoni
Lineage: Eukaryota; Metazoa; Arthropoda; Insecta; Psocodea; Philopteridae
Description: partial 16S ribosomal RNA
Rfam family: Bacterial large subunit ribosomal RNA
Source: RNAcentral